AGAUAACAAAGAUGACAAGGGGAAAAUAAAAUGGCUAUUGCCUGUUUUCACUUUUGUUUUGUACAUGAGAUUCGGUGACCACUACAUAUAAAAUCUAUUUCCAUCUUAGAUUUUCUAAGGAUGGAAGUUGUGCAUACCAUUUUACGAAAUAUAUCUUGCACGGAGGCGGCCUCCUUUGGAGACCAUCUUUUCCUUUGUGCAAUCCACACUAAGACCUACAUUCACAUUGAAGAUAAUACUACUAAACUUUACAAUUGACGAAACUAGAUUUUCUAUACACAUCAAUAAAACACUGGCAUUGUGCAUCAACAAGAAUUUCUCGCUUUCCAAUACCAAUAAAGACGCCCUGAAAAAGAGUAAAAGAAAACAAAAUUACUCGAGAGGAAUAGUAAAAUGACCUUAGAUCUAUUGAAGAAGGCACAUAUCAAGAACUAACAUAUUUUUUUAAGUUAGGAGAUCUAGUGAAGAUCUCAUUUCCACAUAGUGAGCAAGCUACAACUUUCAACAAUUUGGCUGUUAAGUGUAGGAUCCGAAAAUGACCAUUCAGCAUUCACAAAUCAUAUCCUAUAUUCAGAUGGAACUUGACAAUCCAAAGAUUUGGCUAUAUUGUGUAACUCUAACCUCAAACAACCAUUGACAAAAAAUUACUUGAUGAAUUUUAAAUUAUUGUAUCAGAUUAAUUUUGAUACAUUGUUAGUGUAAAACUUUUUACAUUGUCGAUCAAUCACAAACCACCAUUUUUAUGACUUCUAGGGUAAAUAUGAUUAAAGUCAAAUAUGUUUAAAGAUCUAACGGUUAUGAAUAUGAUUGAUUUAACCUAUAAAAAGAACCUACACUGUGAGCGUGAGCGCAUAUCAAUUAAAUCCUAGUUGUAUUGAUUCAUAAGUUAAAAACGUCUGAAAUAGAUCUUUCUUUGGCUCUGUGCAUAUUACUUUGUUUUGUAAUUUUAGUGAAACAUAUGGCUAUACCUCAACAUACACUAUUCAGUUGAAUAAUUUCAAAAAGCAUUUAGAAUUUAUACAUAUAAAUUAUGAAGUUAUGAUCAAAUCAAUGACUCACAAUAACAGUUAUGAAUGUGAACUUUAUUAAUUAGAAGUGCUGUAAAAGUAUCUCAUUACUCACAAUUUACAAUGGAAUAUGAAAACAAAAAAGUUGGUCUAAAUUGUUUUAAGUUAUAACCAAAUUUGUGCAUAGUUAGUGACCUAUAUGAGACAGGAAUAACACCUCCUGUUAGAUCAGUGACUAUGCUAAUACCAAACCUCUUCCUGUUAGAUUAGUGACUAUGCUAAUACCUAACUCAUUACUGUGCUCAUACCUAACAAAUAACAAUAUCUCUUUUUCUAACUUUUUUGGACAACCGAGGUAUUCUCUGCACGCAACUAUAGAGACUAAUCAUUCGAGGUAACUGAGGUCUAAUCCUGAAACAAAUGGUUAAGGGACUCAAGUAAUGGGAGACAUAUAAUAAUAGUAUAUGUUUUUCCAUACUGCUAAUACCUAACUCAUCACUGAACUCCCCCAUUUCAGUUAACUAACAAUAUCUCUUUUUCUCUCUUUAGUCAACUCAACAAUUUGUGUGUAAAAUAAACUUUCCUUAAUCCAUUAUUUUCAACAAACAAAAGCAAAAAUAGAAAAUGAGUAACGAAUUGAUUCUUACACCUCUUUCUUUUCCAUCAGAUCACUCAACACAUCCCUCACAAUUUCCUUUCAAAGUGUAUAUACAUAUGGUCUUGAACAAUUACUCUUUGCAGUGUGAUUUAUAAAGUGGUUAUUAAAGUUUUAACUGAGCUCUUCUUCAACACAAAAAUACAAAAUUGGAUUAUGGGCAGUCAAAUUACAUACAAUUAGCGAUUUAGAACCCUCUGAUUAAGAUUAAAUGAUUUAGAUCUUAAGACAAUUUUCUUAUUUUUGUUUAAUAUAAAAUUCUAAAUUAAAGUGGUUAGCAAAAGUUAAAAGCAACAGCCACAAAAAAUCAAAGCAAAACAACAGUAUCAUGUAUGUACAUUUGGUUUGCAACAAAAACAGUGGCACACAAUUUUGAAAACAAAAACUAUUUUUUUUACAAAUGCAUCCGAAGUGGUUUUUUAGAGUGUGUGAAAAGUACAUCCGCACAUUAUUUUUAUUUUAUCUUUACUUUCCAUUUUCGAGUCAAAUUAAUUUUUCGGAGGGGGUGAAAGGAUGGUAACAAAGUAAAGAUAACAAAGGGAAAAUAACUUGGAAAUUGCCUGUUUUCAUUUUGUUUUGUACACGAGAUUCGAUGACCAGAACAUAUAAAAUCUAUUUCCAUCUUAGAUUUUCUAAUGAUAGAAGUUGUGCAUACAUUUUACUAAAUAUAUCUUGCACAGAGGCGGCCUCCUUUGGAGACCAUAUUUUCCUUUGCGCAAUCCACGCUAAAACCUACAUUCACAUUGAAGAAAAUACUACUAAACUUUACAAUUGACGAAACUAGAUUUUCUAUACACAUCAAUAAAACACUGGCAUUGUGCAUCAAUCAACACGAGUUUCUCGCUUCCCAAUACCAAUAAAGAUGCCCUGAAAAGGUGAAAAGAAAACAGAAUUACUAGAGAGAAAUAGUUAAAUGACUUUAGAUCUAUUGAAGAA
This 2598-nucleotide long non-coding RNA is filed under the name Trifolium pratense (red clover). RNAcentral describes it as "long non-coding RNA (TPRA_LNC009840)". Lineage: Eukaryota; Viridiplantae; Streptophyta; Magnoliopsida; Fabales; Fabaceae. The record is from RNAcentral.